Molecule: long non-coding RNA, 1092 nt
Filed under: Homo sapiens (human)
Lineage: Eukaryota; Metazoa; Chordata; Mammalia; Primates; Hominidae
Description: non-protein coding lnc-EEF2KMT-9:1
Source: RNAcentral
AGUUCUUCUACCAGGACUAAAUUUUGAUAAAAUGACUUUUGCUGUUCCUUUCAUAUCUAAGAUUCUUGAGGAGAAUUAAAUAUAGUAGUCUAGAGUUUCAACCUUUGAACAUAACGACCGUGGGCGUAUACCUUGUAAAGGGGUAACACUGGUGAGCCAUAAACUAAUCCAAAAAUUCACACCUUUUCUUUUGUUCUUACAGGUAGGUAAUCCAUAAUUUCAUUGUCGGUGGUGGUAUGUUCAAUUAAGUACUGUUUGCUAAUAUUUACCUUCUAAGUGCACUAGUAAGGGUUGCUAAAAAUUACUUUGAAAAAGCCAACAUUGACAUAUUACUAGUUUACUGAAGACCAAAAGUCAGUAUUUUCACUAGAAGUCUGCACUCUAGACACUACAUAUAUAACCUAUCACUCUCUACAUAAUAGAUUAUUUGCAAUUAUUUAGUUAUUUUAUCUAAUUCUAAUUAUAACCCUAUGGAAUUUUUAUGUUACUGUUACUACAUUUUACAGAGGAGAAGACAGAGGUAGCAGAAAACUAAGCUAAUUUCCCAAGGUAACUCAACUAGCAGAAGAUAGAACCACAUGUGGAGAUCAGGCUCCAGAGAAAUCCUUUUAACAUCUACACUAUAUUUCAUCUUAGCACCUGUAGAGUUGUCGAGCUUGAGCGGCACGUGAGAAGGCAGGCAUAAGUGGGCUGUGGUUGAACAAAAAAUGUCAGAGAUAAAUGAUCAUCAGUCUAGAGGUGAAGACAAUGUGGGAUUAGAGUGAGGAAGAAGGUACCUGCUUGGAAUGAGAGAUGUAGUUGCUUUGAGUGACUGGAGUCUGGAUGGCGUAGUAGCAACAAGGAGAGAGAGGGCCAGGCGUGGUGGCUCAUGCCUGUAAUCCCAGCACUUUAGGGGGCCGAGGCAGGUGGAUCACAAGGUCAGGAAUUCAAGACCAGCCUGGCCAAGUUCGUGAAACCUCGUCUCUACUAAAAAUACAAAUAUUAGCCAGGCAUGGUGGCGAGCACCUGUAAUCCCAGCCACUUGGGAGGCUGAGGCAGAGAACUGCUUGAAUCUGGGAGGCAGAGGUUACAGUGAACCGAGAUCGCACCACU